Long non-coding RNA from Spodoptera frugiperda (fall armyworm), 2456 nucleotides. RefSeq lists it as uncharacterized. The record is from RefSeq and is a predicted model, not a curated record. NCBI's taxonomy places the organism in Eukaryota, Metazoa, Arthropoda, Insecta, Lepidoptera, Noctuidae. The transcript has 3 exons.
CGACGGCGCAUCGGACGAGGGAAGCGAACCCGCGCACCUGCACAGUUCCACUGAGUUACAAGCGUGACGUCAUAUCCAGACAGAGUUACAGACCGACUGAUGAAGUCGCCGGUCGUUGCGUUGGUAUGUAGGACGUGGCCUCGCAUUACAAGCGCUCGCUGCGUUAAGCGCUACGUGAGGAGACUGCAGGUGACGCCUAAUGCAGGAGUCAGCUGACUGCCACCGCCGCCGUGACUCAGCUGUCACCACGGCCGGCCGAGGACACGGACGACGCAGGAGUGGAGGGAGACCCCAGUGUAAACUGGCUCGCAGUUGUAACAGGAUCAAUUGUAACGCAGUGAGUGUGAGUGAGUGGUGUCGUGCCGCGCGCUGUGUCCACUGAGCCGCGGCGGGUACUGACCAGCCACUGACCAGCCACUGACAUAAUGUUACGACGAACAACUUUACGACCAUCAUUACCUGCCACUAAUUACCGCGCGGUUAUGUCACAUACUGCUACACUAUCAUUUUUUGAGGGGAGAACAUUAACGUAACAUCCAACGUCUUCUGCCGCCUUGGGCGAGGCGAGCGGGAGUGUCAGACUUAUUGACCAUGAACCACCCCGUUCUUACUCCUGCUCUUCGAGCCGGAGCCGGGACGAUCUCGUUGAUAACAGUUGUAACACAUAGUGCCUACUUACAUGGGUAUGGACUGAUAGGGCGCCACUGGGAACUAACGAAUGGUAUAUUGGUACGAUGUCUACGACGUAACUGAAUGCGUUGCAUGUGAAAUCUGGAAAUAGCAGGCCGUUGUUCUCGACAACUAUAGGAGAUGAAUUAUAAGUCGUACAAACAUAAGACUAUAAUACGCUUUCAUUUCGUAAGAAUAGGUACUCGGUCGGUCCCACAAUAUGUCAUUAAAACUUUAAUAUGAUAAACUUUUAUUUUGUCUUCAAUUCAUUAACUUUCCAUAUUAUACUCGUAUUUUUCACCUAGCGCCAGUAUUUCAGCUCGCCCUGUGACCUCCAGUGUGUCCCCUACCGAGCGUACAGCCCGCGCAGCGCCCCGCGCCCCGCGCCCGCGCGUCCCUCGCGCUACACAUUGGUACUGUAUAGGUCUCCUAGUACACCUACAAGUAAGACGCUAAGUGGCCAGUGCACCCACGAAUCAAUACCGCUGCGUUCCAGGGAUACAGCGCGCAGCACCGCGACACGCGAGCGAGACGACACAUACCCACCACGAGGAGGGACGACAGUGCGCCCAGUAUUUGUAGCUAUGCACUGGAACUGCGCGCAGGGUGCACAGAGGGCACUAGUUGGUUGCAGUUACACUGGGCGCACUAUGGCUGACUACUGCGAUGUAGAUACAGCUAGGCACGUAGGUACAGGCUAGACUUGCUACUGUAGUGGUUCGUUCUGCUCCCUCGCGCACACAAUGUGACAUUGACUUUUUACGGAACAUUUCCGAGGUUAGCGUUACGUAGGUAAUUGUGAUUACACUGCGCGGUGGCACGGGGACAAGUAGACAAUGCUGUUACAUCACACGGGUCGCGACCUGUGUCGGCCCGUAGCUACUGCUCUCCUCAACCAGCAGUACCUGCUGCCCUGGUGCUGGGUACUGCUGAUUAUAUCAUCUGCGGCUCAGCGGCCAGUUCACAUUUCUGUAAACUAUGAUCAUUUGUUAAUCUCCAUACACGGUUGCACAGGUAGUGCUCAGCAGGUACUCUCUUCUGCCCUACACGAGAGUAGUGGCCAGUGUGGACGUGGACAUUGUUACUACUGCAGGCUGCGCGUGUUUACCCUGUACAGCAGUGUACAGCAAUAUACUGUAGUGUGCAGCAAUGUACAGCAGUGUACAGUAGUGUGCUGCAGUGUACAGUAAUACAUUAGUGCAGUAUCCUCGACGACGAGUAACGUUAUCAUGUCAUUCAGUCACAUUGGCGCGGUGUCGAGUGUCAGCAACUCGAGCAGUGCGCAGGCGCAGGCGUCCCCUACGCAAACAAAGUAUAUGUGGAAUAAUGUUCUAUAGAAUCUGAUGUAGGAAUGGUUUGUUUCGUAAUAAAGUAUAAUAUUAUGUAGUGUGUGGUAUGUGGCAUGGUGCGCGGCGGCAGGUUCUCGCACCAUUAUGUAAGGUAUCACAUGGAGAGUGGCGCUGCGGUACUGCAGCACUGGACUACUGGCAACUGGCGACUGGCGACUGGCGCAUCUAAUUACUAACUACUCGUAUAUACUGUACCAAGUACUUCCUUGACUCUAGUAAUGUAUGCGUGUAAUAAGGAGUUGAGGAGUCAGCUACACGUGCGUGUAAUGACAGGGGAUCGGACAGUGCGCAGGCGCACCGGAAGUGCCGCGCCGCACAUCCGGUCCCAGAGACACGCGAGGGAGGCACUCACCAGGCCGAGAACAACGGAGGUAUUCAUUCGCAGGGAUGUGAGGUCAGUCACUCAGGCAGAGUUAAACAGUUUGACCAGGUAACAAU